This 105-nucleotide small RNA is filed under the name Marmota monax (woodchuck). Lineage: Eukaryota; Metazoa; Chordata; Mammalia; Rodentia; Sciuridae. The record is from RNAcentral.
GCUGGGUGGUGGUGCACACCUGUAAUCCCAGCUACUCAGGAGGCUGAGGCAGGAGGAUCACAAGUUUGAGACCAGCCUGAGCAACUUAGGGAGACCCUGUCUCAA